AACGAACGCUGGCGGCAUGCCUAACACAUGCAAGUCGAACGAGACCUUCGGGUCUAGUGGCGCACGGGUGCGUAACGCGUGGGAACCUGCCCUUAGGUUCGGAAUAACUCCCCGAAAGGGGUGCUAAUACCGGAUAAUGUCUUCGGACCAAAGAUUUAUCGCCUUUGGAUGGGCCCGCGUUGGAUUAGCUAGUUGGUAGGGUAAAAGCCUACCAAGGCGACGAUCCAUAGCUGGUCUGAGAGGAUGAUCAGCCACACUGGGACUGAGACACGGCCCAGAAUCCUACGGGAGGCAGCAGUGGGGAAUAUUGGACAAUGGGCGAAAGCCUGAUCCAGCAAUGACGCGUGAGUGAUGAAGGCAGUAGGGUUGUAAAGCUCUUUUACCCGGGAUGAUAAUGACAGUACCGGGAGAAUAAGCUCCGGCUAACUCCGUG
This 433-nucleotide ribosomal RNA is filed under the name uncultured bacterium. Its description in RNAcentral is "partial 16S ribosomal RNA". It matches the Rfam family "Bacterial small subunit ribosomal RNA", at positions 29 to 507 of the family's 1533-position model. The record is from RNAcentral.